This 437-nucleotide ribosomal RNA is filed under the name uncultured bacterium. Its description in RNAcentral is "bacterial SSU rRNA". It matches the Rfam family "Bacterial small subunit ribosomal RNA", at positions 954 to 1392 of the family's 1533-position model. The record is from RNAcentral.
GCAUAACGCGAAGAACCUUACCAGGGCUUGACAUCCCUCUGAAAUCUCUAGAGAUAGAGGCUCCCUUCGGGGCAGAGGUGACAGGUGGUGCAUGGUUGUCGUCAGCUCGUGUCGUGAGAUGUUGGGUUAAGUCCCGCAACGAGCGCAACCCUUGUCCUUAGUUGCCAGCAUUUAGUUGGGCACUCUAGGGAGACUGCCGUCGACAAGACGGAGGAAGGUGGGGAUGACGUCAAAUCAUCAUGCCCCUUAUGUCCUGGGCUACACACGUGCUACAAUGGAUGGAACAACGGGCAGCUAACUCGCGAGAGUACGCAAAUCCCUGAAAACCAUUCUCAGUUCGGAUUGCAGGCUGCAACUCGCCUGCAUGAAGCCGGAAUCGCUAGUAAUCGCGGAUCAGCAUGCCGCGGUGAAUACGUUCCCGGGUCUUGUACACACCG